RNAcentral lists this long non-coding RNA (326 nucleotides) under Mytilus galloprovincialis (Mediterranean mussel). The record is from RNAcentral. Lineage: Eukaryota; Metazoa; Mollusca; Bivalvia; Mytilida; Mytilidae.
AAAAAGAAAUUAAAAACCAAUUGUUCAGAGAACAAUUGUAGGUCUUUCCACUAGUAAAGAUCUAUUUUGAUAUUGAAAUAUGAAAAAUCAGUUUAAAAUGUUAGUUCCUAUGGCUUUAUGAUGUAUUUAUAUGAAUUUAAAGCAAAGGUCAAAAUCUAGAACGUCCUUUUAACCUAUGACCUUGACCUCAAUUUCAAGGUCACAAACCAAGGACCUUAAAUCAUAAGACCCUGGGUCUUUAAUAUGUUUGGUUAAUGAGUAAUACCACUUUACGCGUAAUUCUAAAUGUAAGGUGGACAAAAACUCCAAUUUAUUGUAUGCGCACC